AGUGAACGCUGGCGGUAGGCCUAACACAUGCAAGUCGAACGGCAGCACAGUAAGAGCUUGCUCUUACGGGUGGCGAGUGGCGGACGGGUGAGGAAUACAUCGGAAUCUACUUUUUCGUGGGGGAUAACGUAGGGAAACUUACGCUAAUACCGCAUACGACCUACGGGUGAAAGCAGGGGAUCUUCGGACCUUGCGCGAUUGAAUGAGCCGAUGUCGGAUUAGCUAGUUGGCGGGGUAAAGGCCCACCAAGGCGACGAUCCGUAGCUGGCCUGAGAGGAUGAUCGGCCACACUGGAACGGGGACACGGUCCAGGCUCCUACGGGAGGCAGCAGUGGGGAAUAUUGGACAAUGGGCGCAAGCCUGAUCCAGCCAUACCGCGUGGGUGAAGAAGGCCUUCGGGUUGUAAAGCCCUUUUGUUGGGAAAGAAAAGCAGCAGGUUAAUACCCCGCUGUUCUGACGGUACCCAAAGAAUAAGCACCGGCUAACUUCGUG
This 492-nucleotide ribosomal RNA is filed under the name uncultured bacterium. RNAcentral describes it as "partial 16S ribosomal RNA". It matches the Rfam family "Bacterial small subunit ribosomal RNA", at positions 29 to 507 of the family's 1533-position model. The record is from RNAcentral.